This 372-nucleotide ribosomal RNA is filed under the name uncultured organism. RNAcentral's name for it is "partial 16S ribosomal RNA". It matches the Rfam family "Bacterial small subunit ribosomal RNA", at positions 527 to 896 of the family's 1533-position model. The record is from RNAcentral.
GUAGGUGGCAAGCGUUGUCCGGAAUUAUUGGGCGUAAAGCGCGCGCCGGCGGUCCUUUAAGUCUGAUGUGAAAGCCCACGGCUCAACCGUGGAGGGUCAUUGGAAACUGGGGGACUUGAGUACAGAAGAGGAAAGCGGAAUUCCAAGUGUAGCGGUGAAAUGCGUAGAGAUUUGGAGGAACACCAGUGGCGAAGGCGGCUUUCUGGUCUGUAACUGACGCUGAGGCGCGAAAGCGUGGGGAGCAAACAGGAUUAGAUACCCUGGUAGUCCACGCCGUAAACGAUGAGUGCUAAGUGUUAGGGGGUUUCCGCCCCCUUAGUGCUGCAGCUAACGCAUUAAGCACUCCGCCUGGGGAGUACGGCCGCAAGGCUA